AGUAAUGCUUAGGAAUCUGCCUAUUAGUGGGGGACAACAUCUCGAAAGGGAUGCUAAUACCGCAUACGUCCUACGGGAGAAAGCAGGGGAUCUUCGGACCUUGCGCUAAUAGAUGAGCCUAAGUCGGAUUAGCUAGUUGGUGGGGUAAAGGCCUACCAAGGCGACGAUCUGUAGCGGGUCUGAGAGGAUGAUCCGCCACACUGGGACUGAGACACGGCCCAGACUCCUACGGGAGGCAGCAGUGGGGAAUAUUGGACAAUGGGGGGAACCCUGAUCCAGCCAUGCCGCGUGUGUGAAGAAGGCCUUAUGGUUGUAAAGCACUUUAAGCGAGGAGGAGGCUACUUUAGUUAAUACCUAGAGAUAGUGGACGUUACUCGCAGAAUAAGCACCGGCUAACUCUGUGCCAGCAGCCGCGGUAAUACA
This 423-nucleotide ribosomal RNA is filed under the name Acinetobacter baumannii. Its description in RNAcentral is "bacterial SSU rRNA". It matches the Rfam family "Bacterial small subunit ribosomal RNA", at positions 109 to 527 of the family's 1533-position model. The record is from RNAcentral. Lineage: Bacteria; Pseudomonadati; Pseudomonadota; Gammaproteobacteria; Moraxellales; Moraxellaceae.